GGGUCAACGCCCGAGUGGCUCAUGGGGGCGGAUUGUAAAUC
This 41-nucleotide transfer RNA is filed under the name Araucaria humboldtensis. RNAcentral describes it as "partial tRNA-Tyr". The record is from RNAcentral. Lineage: Eukaryota; Viridiplantae; Streptophyta; Pinopsida; Araucariales; Araucariaceae.